GACGAACGCUGGCGGCGUGCUUAACACAUGCAAGUCGAACGGAAAGGCCCUGCUUUUGUUGGGUGCUCGAGUGGCGAACGGGUUAGUAACACGUGAGUAACCUGCCCUUGACUUUGGGAUAACUUCAGGAAACUGGGGCUAAUACCGGAUAGGAGCUCCUGCUGCAUGGUGGGUGUUGGAAAGUUUCGGAGGUUGGGGAUGGACUCGCGGCUUAUCAUCUUGUUGGUGGGGUAGUGGCUUACCAAGGCUUUGACGGGUAGCCGGCCUGAGAGGGUGACCGGCCACAUUGGGACGGAGAUACGGCCCAGACAACUACGGGAGGCAGCAGUGGGGAAGAUUGCACAAUGGACGGAAGCCUGAUGCAGGAACGACGCGUGCGGGAUGGCGGCCUUAGGGUUGUAAACCGCUUUCGCCUGUGACGAAGCGUGAGUGACGGUAAUGGGGAAGGAAGCACCGGCAAACUACGU
RNAcentral lists this ribosomal RNA (467 nucleotides) under uncultured bacterium. RNAcentral's name for it is "partial 16S ribosomal RNA". It matches the Rfam family "Bacterial small subunit ribosomal RNA", at positions 28 to 506 of the family's 1533-position model. The record is from RNAcentral.